This 253-nucleotide ribosomal RNA is filed under the name uncultured bacterium. Its description in RNAcentral is "partial 16S ribosomal RNA". It matches the Rfam family "Bacterial small subunit ribosomal RNA", at positions 524 to 776 of the family's 1533-position model. The record is from RNAcentral.
UACGUAGGGCGCAAGCGUUGUCCGGAAUUAUUGGGCGUAAAGAGCUCGUAGGCGGUUUGUCGCGUCUGCUGUGAAAACCUGAGGCUCAACCUCGGGCUUGCAGUGGGUACGGGCAGACUAGAGUGCGGUAGGGGUGACUGGAAUUCCUGGUGUAGCGGUGGAAUGCGCAGAUAUCAGGAGGAACACCGAUGGCGAAGGCAGCUCGCUGGGACGGUACUGACGCUGAGGCGCGAAAGCGUGGGGAGCAAACAGG